GACGAACGCUGGCGGCGUGCUUAACACAUGCAAGUCGAACGGAAAGGCCCUGCUUUUGUGGGGUGCUCGAGUGGCGAAUGGGUGAGUAACACGUGAGUAACCUGCCCUUGACUUUGGGAUAACUUCAGGAAACUGGGGCUAAUACCGGAUAGGAGCUCCUGCUGCAUGGUGGGGGUUGGAAAGUUUCGGCGGUUGGGGAUGGACUCGCGGCUUAUCAGCUUGUUGGUGGGGUAGUGGCUUACCAAGGCUUUGACGGGUAGCCGGCCUGAGAGGGUGACCGGCCACUGGGACUGAGAUACGGCCCAGACUCCUACGGGAGGCAGCAGUGGGGAAUAUUGCACAAUGGGCGGAAGCCUGAUGCAGCAACGCCGCGUGCGGGAUGACGGCCUUCGGGUUGUAAACCGCUUUCGCCUGUGACGAAGCGUGAGUGACGGUAAUGGGUAAAGAAGCACCGGCUAACUACGUGCCAGCAGCCGCGGUGAUACGUAGGGUGCGAGCGUUGUCCGGAUUUAUUGGGCGUAAAGGGCUCGUAGGUGGUUGAUCGCGUCGGAAGUGUAAUCUUGGGGCUUAACCCUGAGCGUGCUUUCGAUACGGGUUGACUUGAGGAAGGUAGGGGAGAAUGGAAUUCCUGGUGGAGCGGUGGAAUGCGCAGAUAUCAGGAGGAACACCAGUGGCGAAGGCGGUUCUCUGGGCCUUUCCUGACGCUGAGGAGCGAAAGCGUGGGGAGCGAACAGGCUUAGAUACCCUGGUAGUCCACGCUGUAAACGGUGGGUACUAGGUGUGGGGUCCAUUCCACGGGUUCCGUGCCGUAGCUAACGCUUUAAGUACCCCGCCUGGGGAGUACGGCCGCAAGGCUAAAACUCAAAGGAAUUGACGGGGCCCCGCACAAGCGGCGGAGCAUGCGGAUUAAUUCGAUGCAACGCGUAGAACCUUACCUGGGUUUGACAUGGAUCGGGAGUGCUCAGAGAUGGGUGUGCCUCUUUUGGGGUCGGUUCACAGGUGGUGCAUGGCUGUCGUCAGCUCGUGUCGUGAGAUGUUGGGUUAAGUCCCGCAACGAGCGCAACCCUUGUUCACUGUUGCCAGCACGUUAUGGUGGGGACUCAGUGGAGACCGCCGGGGUCAACUCGGAGGAAGGUGGGGAUGACGUCAAGUCAUCAUGCCCCUUAUGUCCAGGGCUUCACGCAUGCUACAAUGGCUGGUACAGAGAGUGGCGAGCCUGUGAGGGUGAGCGAAUCUCGGAAAGCCGGUCUCAGUUCGGAUUGGGGUCUGCAACUCGACCUCAUGAAGUCGGAGUCGCUAGUAAUCGCAGAUCAGCAACGCUGCGGUGAAUACGUUCCCGGGGCU
RNAcentral lists this ribosomal RNA (1344 nucleotides) under uncultured bacterium. Its description in RNAcentral is "partial 16S ribosomal RNA". It matches the Rfam family "Bacterial small subunit ribosomal RNA", at positions 28 to 1381 of the family's 1533-position model. The record is from RNAcentral.